GUGGGGAAUUUUGGACAAUGGGCGCAAGCCUGAUCCAGCAAUGCCGCGUGCAGGAAGAAGGCCUUCGGGUUGUAAACUGCUUUUGUACGGAACGAAACGGUCCUGGCUAAUACCCGGGGCUAAUGACGGUACCGUAAGAAUAAGCACCGGCUAACUACGUGCCAGCAGCCGCGGUAAUACGGAGGGUCCGAGCGUUAUCCGGAUUUAUUGGGUUUAAAGGGUGCGUAGGCGGUUUUAUAAGUCAGCGGUGAAAUUUUCCGGCUCAACCGGGAUACUGCCGUUGAUACUGUAAGGCUAAGAUAUGGUUGCUGUGGGUGGAAUGUGUGGUGUAGCGGUGAAAUGCUUAGAGAUCACACAGAAUAUCGAUUGCGAAGGCAGCUCACAAAGCCAUUAUUGACGCUGAGGCACGAAAGUGUGGGGAUCAAACAGGAUUAGAAACCCCGGUAGUCC
RNAcentral lists this ribosomal RNA (450 nucleotides) under uncultured bacterium. RNAcentral describes it as "partial 16S ribosomal RNA". It matches the Rfam family "Bacterial small subunit ribosomal RNA", at positions 354 to 796 of the family's 1533-position model. The record is from RNAcentral.